RNAcentral lists this long non-coding RNA (4293 nucleotides) under Homo sapiens (human). Its description in RNAcentral is "HSALNT0175249". The record is from RNAcentral. Lineage: Eukaryota; Metazoa; Chordata; Mammalia; Primates; Hominidae.
UUGGAAGGCUGUGUUGAAAAGGCAUCCAUUCAUAGAUUUCAAUUUGCUUUUGUUAGAUGUCCCACAAUGUUUCCAGUGUAGACCACUGUGCAUUAUUUCUCAUCUUGAGGUUGCUUCAGUUGUGCAGGAAGCAAAAUCCAAAGUUCAUUCCGUGUGAGGAAGGGCUGUGGUUGCUGAUUUACAGUGAACAGUAAGAAAACGGAGAUGGACAUGAGCAUUUUAAGCAAGCCCAUCCCUUAAAAAUUUUUCCGUCUUUGGAUGAAUAAGAGGAAGAAGUAUCACAGAAUAUUUGAUUGCUGAGAAUUCACUUGUAUUUUAUGCUAUAAAUUGAUAUUGCAUCUCAUCAAAUAAUGUUUCUGCAUUGAGAAAUUCAGGCUGACGUAUCACAUUACCUGACUUCAGACUACAGACUGGAAGCUGAAGAAGCCAAACACCCAGAAAUGCCAACAGGCAGAUUACUUUGAAAAUAAGUCCCUUGAAUAUAUGUCAGCUGUGAUGGAUAAAGAGUAAUUCCAUGAAAAGGUGACCUUCUAAGUGCCAAUAUUUUCUGUGGCAGAAGAACAACAAUAUACAUUUUGUCUACUCUGGGACUGGUUGAUUUAUAUUGAUGAGUGGUAAUCUGAUAUUUUGAGCCACAAAUUAUAUAAAUAGAUGGAUAGAUUGGUUUUUAUAUUUUGCUAUUAUUUUAUGUAUUAUGUCAUGUUUAUUUGUUAGAAUUUAAAAAUAGCAUACCAAAUGUUUUAAUUCUUAUCAUUAAGGCUCUUAUAAAAAUAACACUAACUUUAAAUGCAGUGUAAACUUCUGCUCAAAUAUAACACAGUGGGGAAUGAGAGAAAUACUACAUACCCUUGUGAGGGGUUUUCUUUUCCUUGCUCUAAAGUGUACCACUCACAUGUACUGGAAAUUUGCAUGUAGCUCUUCCUGUUUCUUGAUUUUUGAAAACUCCCUCCCUCGUAGGAUUCCAGUGGUUUACUCUUUGCCCAGGGAAUCUAAGGAUUUGUCAAUUUGUCAUUCCACCCACCCUUUCUACUCUGGUGGUACUUUUCUAUAAUUAAAAAAAAUCAUAUGCAGAUACAAUUGAACAAUUGGGAAUAUAAAGACUGUGGCAAAUCAUUAAGUAUUUUAAUGAAUCACAAAUCAUUUCUUAUUCUAAAGAUAAUAAAACUUAAUUUUCAUACCCAACUCCUCAAUUAAUUCUUUAUUGUUUACACGAACUCUUUCAAUGAGAAACUACAUAGAUUGAUUAGUAACACUAUUUUCUUGAGGUUGAUAAAUAUUUCUGAGUUGCAUAUUUUUCCUCUUGAUCUGUCUAAUCACUGUGGUGAGUAACUUUUGUAUGUUUACAUUAAUCAUAACAAAAUCCAAUAUACUGUACAUCUGUGAGGAAGGAGGUGUUCUUCCCGUCUUAUUCUAUGCAUAUGUCACACCUUAGAAUAAAACGGUGCCCAUCCUUCAAAAUUGCAUGGAGUGUUUCUACUAUUCUCCAUUGUAUCAUUUAGAAAUGCUUCUCCUAUGCAUUUAACAGAUUGCUCAACAAAUGAUGGCUCAAGGCAGAUGGUUUAAAUUUUUUAAGUGACGUGAGGUUGGAGACUGAUGACUGUCAUUUUUUUUAUUAGUUAAGUAGCUCAACAAUUUCAGAGGCAGUAUGUUUUUCAUUGUCUUGUCCUUAAAUUAACUUUCCGAAAUUGAUGAAACUCACAUAAAAUUGCUCAGGUCCACGAAGCAGAAGUUGAUGUCAAAUAAAUACUUCCUCCACACACUUCUCUUUUUCAUGGAAGGGACAUCUGUUUUUUACAUUAUUCUGAGCUGACUUCCUCCUGCAUUAGCAAUAGUCAAUUGUUUUUGUUUUAAUUUCUAAAUUCUGAUCUUCCUAAAUCAUCUUUUUUCAAAUGUGGAUGAACUUCCUAGGACAGAAAUCAUUGAUUAAAAUUGAUACACCUUUGUUUAUUUCUUUUUCAGCCUGUUCUUGAUUACUUAAUGCUAAUUAUUGCUCCUAUCCCCCCCAAAAUUUAUUACUAAUCCACACAAAUUAUACUCUGCAACCAUUUCAUGAUGGUUUCUAUUUGACAAAGUCAAGCAUUGAUAAUCCACUGAUUAGCUUAUAUUUCUGUGUGUUGAUGUAGUGAUUGAUUAUUGAAUUAAUAUUCUAUGCUUGAAGUGGUUAUGAUCUUUAUUCAUUUAUCAUAUUUAAAUAUUUCAUUGUCAAGUAAAAUUACAUAAAAUCAAGAUGUACAAUGUGAUGAUUUGCUAUACAUAUAUAUUGUGUACUGAUUACACAGUCAAAUUAAUUAACAUAUCCAUCACCACUCUUAGUUUCCUCUUUUCUUUUUUGAGUGUUUAUGUGUAUGUAGCAAAGAUACUUAAAAUGUGCUUUCUUAUCAAAUUCAGGUAAACAAUACAGUAUUAUUAAUUAUAGAAAUCAUAGAGCCCCAGAACAUGUACAUCUUAUAACUGAUCUCUCUGCUAUUUCUCUUCUUUCAAUCUGACACCUGCCAAAGUGGAGCUUUGCUCUAUGUUGUCUCAGGAUGACAGCAACAAAGGCAAAAAUGACAUUAAGGGACAAUAUAGGGUAGUUGUUGAGAGCAUGAAAUCUGGAUUUGAUUACCUGGCUUUGAAACCUAUUUGUACUACCUAAUACAUUGGUGAAUUCUGACAAUUUAUUUACCCUUUCUAAACCUUUAUUUUUAUCAUCUGAAAAAUGGAACUUUUAGUAAAACUUAGCUCACAGAACUAUUGUGAUGGCUAAAUUAAGACAUAGAGAAUGCCAUUUGUUGUUGGUGUUCUAUUUUCCCUUUUUUCUGUUCUUUUUAUUGUGGACUUAAAAACUUUCUUUGUUUAUUAGAGUUGCUAUAACAAAUUACCAUAAAAUGGGUGGUUCCUAAACAAUAGAAAUUUACUUAAUACAAUUCUAGAGGCUGGGAAGUCCAAGAUCAAGGUGCCAGUAGAUUUGGUGUCUAGUAAGGUCUUCCUCUCUGGAUCAUAGAUGGUGUCUUCUCCCUGUGUCUUCAUAUAGUGGAAGGAGGUAAGAAGUUCCCUGAGUCCUCUCUCACAAGGACACUAAUCUCAUUCAUGAGAAUCUACUCUCAUGAUCUCGUUUCUCCCAAAGGUCCUACCUUCUAAUACCAUCACCUUGGGGGUUAGGAUUUCAACAUAUACAUUUGGGAAGAAUACAACAUUCAGAACAACUCUUUUUGUUGUGGUGGUGGUGGUUGUUAUUUUAGCGUUUGUUUUAGGGCAUAGAUAUUUUACUUGUAAUAGUUUACUUUCAAGUGUAAUUAUAUCCCUUCACAUAUAAAAUAAGAACUUUACAGUAUUUAACCACUCCUGCCAUCUCCUUUAUAACAGCUUUGUUGUAUAUUUUUAUUACUCUUAAACAAAUAAUUAUCUUUCACAUAGAUUUAAAUUAUUGAAAUCACUAUGUAGUCACUUCUGGUGCUGUUCAUUCUUUUGUCUAGAAUCACAUUUCAAUCUGGUAUUUUUUUCCCUUCUGAUUGAUGGGCUUCAUUUAUCAUUUCUUUUAGUGCAAGUUUAAUCAUGAAGGGUUCUUUCAGUGUUGAUAUGUCUGAAAUAACUUUAUUUCACAUUCCUUUUCAAAAUAUGUAUUCCCUGGGUAAAGAAUCCUAGGUGACAGUUAUUCUGUUUCAGUGUUUUGAUGCUGUUGCUCUGCUGUAUCUUGACUUGCAAUGUUUUUGAGGAGAAGCUAAAUGAACAAUGAUGUUACAUGAAAUAAAAUGUUAUUAUUUUUCUUAUUCCUCUGUAUACAAAGUGUUUGUGUUUUGACUGCUUAAGGUUUUUAUUUAUCACUUGCUGUGUGAAAUUGUGUUUGUUUUUAUUUUGUUUUGUUUUGUUUUCUCUCCACUUUUGUUUGGGGUUCAGGGCUACAUGUGCUGGUUUGUUACAUGGGUAAUUUGAGUAUCACUGAAGUUUGGUAUACAAGUGAUCCCAUCACCCAGGUAGUGAACAUAGCACCCAAUAUGUAGCUUUUCAACCCUUGCACCUUGCUCUCUCUUCUCCUCUAGUGUACCCCAGUGCCCAGUGUCUAUCAUUCCCACCCAUCUUUAUGUCUAUUUGAACACAAUCUUUAGUUCUCACUUAUAAGUGACAACAUGUAUUAUUUGAUUUCCUGUUCCUGUGUUAAUAUGCUUAGAAUAAUGGCCUUCAGCUGCAUCCACAUUACUGCAAAAGACAUGAUUUUCUUCUUUUUAUGGCUAUACAAUAUUCCACAUAUGUAUAGAAUAUUUCAUAUAGUAUUCCAUAUAUAUUGUAUUAGCCAUGUAGUAUUCCACAUUGUAA